RNAcentral lists this ribosomal RNA (324 nucleotides) under uncultured eukaryote. RNAcentral describes it as "partial 18S ribosomal RNA". It matches the Rfam family "Eukaryotic small subunit ribosomal RNA", at positions 1470 to 1796 of the family's 1831-position model. The record is from RNAcentral.
CCCUUAGAUGUCCUGGGCUGCACGCGCGCUACACUGAUGUGUCCAGUAAGCACCUAACCUCUUCCGAAAGGAACGGGUAACCUUUGCAAAGCACAUCGUGAUGGGGAUAGAUUAUUGCAAUUAUUAGUCUUGAACGAGGAAUUCCUAGUAAGCACAAGUCAUCAGCUUGUGUUGAUUACGUCCCUGCCCUUUGUACACACCGCCCGUCGCUCCUACCGAUUGAAUGUUCCUGUGAGCUCUUCGGACUGCGCGGUCUGCAGUUUCUGCGUUCCGUGCGGAAAGUUGCGCAAACCUUAACAUUUAGAGGAAGGAGAAGUCGUAACA